UCGUUUCCUUUCGUUUGAGUGUGGGUUAAAAAUACGCUUCCUCUGACUUCACUGCUGUCCUGUGUCGAAGAGCUUCAGUCCGGGCCCCAUGCAAAUCCAGGGCAUUGCAUUCCUUGGGACGGCCAGGACAAACAUCCCUGGAAUGAGCAGCAGGCACAGUUCAGGGACAGAUGACAUAGGAAGGGAGAAAACCCAGGCACAGAUGAAGCUGGGAAUACAGGGGCUUGCCUACACAGCAAGGGACAACAGCGAGACAGUUCCAGUCAGCGUGAUAAUCAACAGUCACAGCGCACCACGGCCCAGGCUGAUUUCAAUGGGAGUUAAGCACCUUGCUGCUUUUAAACAUCUUGGCCCAGCUGCCUGAUCAUUGGGAAGUAUAUUGUAGGCAUCGCCGCAGAGGGAAGUUUUAAGGAGGACGACGAGUUAGCCUUGCAGAUGUUUCCGGGGAACUUCUCCAAAGUGCGAGGGACAGCAUGUGAGAAAGCACAAAAAUACAACAAAUGGGUGGUGAAGGCUGGCUUUGCUGGCAGAGCAGAGGAGGAGGCAACAGCUGUUUGUCUGAUCUAAUAUGCCACGUGGCACCAGGAUGGGCCUGACAUACAUUUAAAGAGCAACGCUGACAAUCAAGAUGAUAUUUCCCCCCCACACUCCCAGCAAUACUAAGCUAGUGGGAACUUUGCCUAAUGCCAUGGCAUUCAACGGGAGCAGGACUGCACCUAAGCGCACAGACUAAUUCAGUUUCAAGUCAGUUCCAGAGGCAUGCACAGAACCCACUCUUUUCUUCAGCCUCUCCCUGCACUGAUCCAACAAACAGGACAAUUGCUCCCUCUUGUGACCCAGACUUGGAAUUACACAAAAACCUGCUCAGAAAUAAUGAUAGCAAAUCAGAAAAAUUAUUAAAUACCUGCUCACACUUCCUAGAAUUCUUUUAGAAACUCUGUUUUAGACACUGCCCUGCCUUUCAGAAAAGGUCCUUAAAAUAGUACAAUACCCAUGCAACAGAUGUUUAUAAUCAAUAAUGAACCCAUAAUCACAGAUG
This 1039-nucleotide long non-coding RNA is filed under the name Chrysemys picta bellii (western painted turtle). RNAcentral's name for it is "lncRNA (ENSCPBG00000005810.1)". Lineage: Eukaryota; Metazoa; Chordata; Testudines; Emydidae. The record is from RNAcentral.